This 720-nucleotide ribosomal RNA is filed under the name Enterococcus faecium. RNAcentral describes it as "bacterial SSU rRNA". It matches the Rfam family "Bacterial small subunit ribosomal RNA", at positions 56 to 747 of the family's 1533-position model. Lineage: Bacteria; Bacillati; Bacillota; Bacilli; Lactobacillales; Enterococcaceae. The record is from RNAcentral.
UGCAAGUCGNACGCUUCUUUUUCCACCGGAGCUUGCUCCACCGGAAAAAGAGGAGUGGCGAACGGGUGAGUAACACGUGGGUAACCUGCCCAUCAGAAGGGGAUAACACUUGGAAACAGGUGCUAAUACCGUAUAACAAUCRAAACCGCAUGGUUUUGAUUUGAAAGGCGCUUUCGGGUGUCGCUGAUGGAUGGACCCGCGGUGCAUUAGCUAGUUGGUGAGGUAACGGCUCACCAAGGCCACGAUGCAUAGCCGACCUGAGAGGGUGAUCGGCCACAUUGGGACUGAGACACGGCCCAAACUCCUACGGGAGGCAGCAGUAGGGAAUCUUCGGCAAUGGACGAAAGUCUGACCGAGCAACGCCGCGUGAGUGAAGAAGGUUUUCGGAUCGUAAAACUCUGUUGUUAGAGAAGAACAAGGAUGAGAGUAACUGUUCAUCCCUUGACGGUAUCUAACCAGAAAGCCACGGCUAACUACGUGCCAGCAGCCGCGGUAAUACGUAGGUGGCAAGCGUUGUCCGGAUUUAUUGGGCGUAAAGCGAGCGCAGGCGGUUUCUUAAGUCUGAUGUGAAAGCCCCCGGCUCAACCGGGGAGGGUCAUUGGAAACUGGGAGACUUGAGUGCAGAAGAGGAGAGUGGAAUUCCAUGUGUAGCGGUGAAAUGCGUAGAUAUAUGGAGGAACACCAGUGGCGAAGGCGGCUCUCUGGUCUGUAACUGACGCU